CUUCCUUUUCACGAACCAUUACAUUUGACUAGUGGCGUUUCUUCUCAGCAGCGUGGAGUUACUGAAGCUGUUGUUUCCAAAAUCGUUCGCUUUCCAAAUAAUGGUCUUUAUAGCAAUAUGACUGGGACUGACCUUCAUACUGAAGAUGAAUUUAUACAUACUGGAGCUAAACAUAAAAGGACUAUACCCAAAAGGACAUGUGCACGCAGUUUAUAGCAGGUACAUAUACUACUGAGGAAUGAUGGGUCCACUGUGCCAUAGUCAAGCCUUUAUACAUCUGUGUCACUGGAACUGAUAAACACAGAAACUGCCAGAAGCAAGAUGAGGAAUACAGAAUAAGAAGUGGGAAAGAGAAUGUGCAUCAUGGAAGGUGUAAUCACUACUGGUGAGUUCAUCCUCAGAAGAACAAAUCAUCUGACUGCCAAGUGGACCAAAACACACAAAAAAAUUGUAAUGUACUUAUUGUGGCAUUUACAGAGAAUGUGAAGUGCAGGUUCCUUUUCUUGUCGGGAUAGGUAGUAAAAAGAAUGGACUUUUUCUUGCAGUGCAUAAACGCAGAUAUGUGUUUUAAUAAAGAUGGACUUUCUAAUUCAUUGCUGGAGCUUUCUAUGAAUGUGCUAUCCAGUUUGUCUGAUAGUGUAACUGCAGGAAAGGCAGAGUGAACAGUCCGAGGCAUCUGCUUUUAGGAAGAAACAAGUAGAACCUGAUCACGGUGAAAUAUUGCCCAAGGAAGGAUAAUGGGUGAUUAUGGAGUGCACUAGAUCUUGCAUAACACCAUGUCUGGAAUAGCAAGUGAUAAUGCAAUGCAAGCUUUACUGUUAUAAGUGAGAACACCAGUGCUAGCUUUAGGGUGUAAUAUGUGGGAAUGAAAGUUAACUGAAUAUAACAUUACUUGUCUAUCAAAAUGCCGAUGUAAAUCAACAGUGGAAUGGAAUAUCCUGGUUAUGAAGUGCAAAUCAUUCAGUACAUCAUGUUAACAUGUUUGUGUACCUUUUUAAACAUAGUACUGAAAUACAUCAGUUUAUAAUUUCCAGAAUAGGUGUCCAUUAAACAUGUCCAUACACCUACCACAUUAAACACAAUCAAACACAUUUAGAAUUGUCUUUAAAAUACCUACUAAAGUUAUACAAUGGGUGCAAAAUGUUCUAUUUUUCAUUUUUUAGCUGAAAACAAAAGCCUUAAAAAUCGCUACUUAACAACUGUUGCACUUUUGGUAGAGCUAGUGCUAUAUGUGCAGUGCAUUAUGAUAAUGCAAGGAAUGUGUUUUUCAUUUUAGUCUCAUCCUAGUGAUGUUUUUCUUCCCUUAUCAGUAAGAAUUUCUAUAAGAUGACCCUGAUUUUAUCUCAUAUUUUUGAUCUGUCCAUUAUAUUUUGACAUAUUUUAUGAAAAAUUGAGGGCUGCAGUCAGUAAUAGCAGACAUUAGGGCUUAAGCCUUUUUAUCCUUCAGAAAAUAUUAUUUUUGUUAUUAUCCAAAAAAUAUGACAACUUACUUCUGUUUCCAGUUCUUUCAAACCUUUUAGAUAGUGGUGUGAUUGUGCUCUAACAAUGCUACAACAUACAGCUGGAUGCCGAGCAGAGCCACAAUCUGCCAGAGUCUCGCCUCCGUUUCAUUUUCUAGUUCAAAGUUUAUAAGAGUUUGAAAGAUUAUUUAAUGAUUUUUUAAGAACUGGUAGUACGGUUAUCUUUUUGAAUACUUUUCAGUACUUUUUAUGUAUGUAUAGAAAAUAUUUAUUAACAUUGACAAACUGUAGAUGUUUUGUUGACUGUAUAUUAUCUACUUAUUUAAGUUACCUAAGGUAUUCUAUUUAUGUAUCCACUUACACUUGACAUCAAUUAUAGGAGAGGAAGACUGAUUGCUGAGUCAAAACCUGUUUAGGUGUAUAUAGUAUAGUUAGGUUAGUAGGAUCGACCUUAGUACAACACAAACUGCAUAACACAGUAUUACAAAACAUAACAUAUGAUCUAACUGAGCGUGCAUAGUACAAAAUAAAAAUAAACUACAGUACUAGAUGACAAAUAAUGCACUCAUUGAAACAGUAUGUGGUUUAAGUUCGAUACCCAAUUUAGUAUUUCAAUAAAGACAGCAUUAACUUUAGGUUACGCUCAAAUGAGCGGUAAGGAAAUAUACCUUUAAACUUGUAGUGUUACAAUUGAACAGACCUGAUAGGUCUACACUACAUGAUGAGGGUAUUUAAGCUGUUAUUUGAAUAUAUUCUGAUUGUCUGAAGAAGUCUGGAUAAAAUCCGGACGAAAAGUGCUUAACACAAUAUACAAGAACUACUUAUUUGCCUGUCUUCGUGUUUUUAAGUACUUUUCAGUACUAUUUAUGUGUGGAACUUG
Protopterus annectens (West African lungfish) is the source of this 2340-nucleotide long non-coding RNA. RefSeq lists it as uncharacterized. NCBI's taxonomy places the organism in Eukaryota, Metazoa, Chordata, Ceratodontiformes, Protopteridae. The record is from RefSeq and is a predicted model, not a curated record. The transcript has 3 exons.